This 508-nucleotide ribosomal RNA is filed under the name uncultured bacterium. Its description in RNAcentral is "bacterial SSU rRNA". It matches the Rfam family "Bacterial small subunit ribosomal RNA", at positions 791 to 1300 of the family's 1533-position model. The record is from RNAcentral.
UAGUCCACGCCGUAAACGAUGAUCACUCGUUGUAUGUCAGAAUGAUGGCAUGUGACCAAGCGAAAGCAUUAAGUGAUCCACCUGGGGAGUACGUUCGCAAGAAUGAAACUCAAAGGAAUUGACGGGGGCCCGCACAAGCGGAGGAACAUGUGGUUUAAUUCGAUGCAACGCGAAGAACCUUACCUGGGCUUGAACUGGUAACGCAAUAUCCUGAAAGGGAUAGUUUCUUCGGAACGUUAUUAGAGGUGCUGCAUGGCUGUCGUCAGCUCGUGUCGUGAGAUGUUGGGUUAAGUCCCGCAACGAGCGCAACCCUUGCCCUUAGUUGCCAGCACGUAAUGGUGGGAACUCUAAGGGGACUGCCUCGGCUAACGGGGAGGAAGGUGGGGACGACGUCAAGUCAUCAUGGCCCUUACGUCCAGGGCUACACACGUGCUACAAUGGCCGGUACAAUGGGCAGCUAAACAGCGAUGUUAUGCGAAUCCCAUAAAACCGGUCUCAGUUCGGAUUG